CAGCCGCCGCGGUAAUACGUAGGGUCCGAGCGUUGUCCGGAAUUAUUGGGCGUAAAGGGCUCGUAGGCGGUUUGUUGCGUCGGGAGUGAAAACCCAGGGCUUAACUUUGGGCUUGCUUUCGAUACGGGCAGACUUGAGGCAUUGAGGGGAGAACGGAAUUCCUGGUGUAGCGGUGAAAUGCGCAGAUAUCAGGAGGAACACCGGUGGCGAAGGCGGUUCUCUGGCAAUGUUCUGACGCUGAGGAGCGAAAGUGUGGGGAGCGAACAGGAUUAGAUACCCCUGUAGUCCCUGUCUCUUAUAC
RNAcentral lists this ribosomal RNA (301 nucleotides) under uncultured bacterium. RNAcentral's name for it is "partial 16S ribosomal RNA". It matches the Rfam family "Bacterial small subunit ribosomal RNA", at positions 509 to 807 of the family's 1533-position model. The record is from RNAcentral.